AAUUGGUUGAGGUGCAACAAGAACCAGGACAGACAGGUGCCAGCCAGACUGCCAGCAGCUGGAAUUGCAGAGACCACAUGUACAGAUCCCACCCCAGAGACUCUGCCCAAGUGUCUUCACCAGUCUCCUUGGAGUCAGGUCCCAGGAGCUGAGGAUCCUGAAUCCAGUAGCCACAGGGCCAGGCAGGUGGAGGAAGGCUGAAGAGACGGACAGGUGUCCUUCUAAAUGGACGUUGCCCAGAUUAUAGAGAUGGCAGUUAAGAAUGCUUGCUGCAGGCCCCAAAAGGAAUAGGAACUCCACGGGAAGACCAAAAGAGUCAACUAACCUGGACUACUGGAGUUCUCAGUCUGAACCACCAACCGAAGAACAUACACAGGCUAGACCUAGGCUUUCCUGCACAUGCGUAGCAGACGUGCAGCUUGGUCUUCCUGAGGGUUCCAAACAACUGGAGUGGGGGCUCUCCCAAAAGCUGUUGCUUGUAUGUGGGGUAUGUUCUACUAGCUGGGCUGCCUUGUCUGGCCUCAGUGGGAGAGGAAGCGCCUAGCUUCACAGAGACUUUAAGUACGGGAGUGGGGGCUGGGGAGAUACCCAGGGCAACCUACUGCUCAGAAAAGAGGAAGGGGAAAGGAUUGUGGAAGGGGGUGAUGAGGAAGGGAGCAGUGAGCAGGAUAUAAAAUGAAUAAGUUUGUUUUUA
Molecule: long non-coding RNA, 694 nt
Filed under: Rattus norvegicus (Norway rat)
Lineage: Eukaryota; Metazoa; Chordata; Mammalia; Rodentia; Muridae
Description: long non-coding RNA NONRATT020001
Source: RNAcentral